AUUGAACGCUGGCGGCAGGCCUAACGCAUGCAAGUCGAGCGGAUGAAGGGAGCUUGCUCCUGGAUUCAGCGGCGGACGGGUGAGUAAUGCCUAGGAAUCUGCCUGGUAGUGGGGGAUAACGUCCGGAAACGGGCGCUAAUACCGCAUACGUCCUGAGGGAGAAGGUGGGGGAUCUUCGGACCUCACGCUAUCAGAUGAGCCUAGGUCGGAUUAGCUAGUUGGUGGGGUAAAGGCCUACCAAGGCGACGAUCCGUAACUGGUCUGAGAGGAUGAUCAGUCACACUGGAACUGAGACACGGUCCAGACUCCUACGGGAGGCAGCAGUGGGGAAUAUUGGACAAUGGGCGAAAGCCUGAUCCAGCCAUGCCGCGUGUGUGAAGAAGGUCUUCGGAUUGUAAAGCACUUUAAGAUGGGAGGAAGGGCAGUAAGUUAAUACCUUGCUGUUUUGACGUUACCAACAGAAUAAGCACCGGCUAACUUCGUG
Molecule: ribosomal RNA, 484 nt
Filed under: uncultured bacterium
Lineage: Bacteria
Description: partial 16S ribosomal RNA
Rfam family: Bacterial small subunit ribosomal RNA
Source: RNAcentral